RNAcentral lists this ribosomal RNA (499 nucleotides) under uncultured bacterium. Its description in RNAcentral is "partial 16S ribosomal RNA". It matches the Rfam family "Bacterial small subunit ribosomal RNA", at positions 899 to 1397 of the family's 1533-position model. The record is from RNAcentral.
ACUCAAAUGAAUAGACGGGGGCCCGCACAAGCGGUGGAGCAUGUGGUUUAAUUCGAUGCAACGCGAAGAACCUUACCUACCCUUGACAUCCUGCGAAGUUUGUAGAGAUACGAAUGUGCCGAAAGGAACGCAGAGACAGGUGCUGCAUGGCUGUCGUCAGCUCGUGUUGUGAGAUGUUGGGUUAAGUCCCGUAACGAGCGCAACCCUUGUCCUUAGUUGCCAACAUGUAAUGGUGGGGACUCUAAGGAGACUGCUGGUGAAGAACCGGAGGAAGGCGGGGACGACGUCAAGUCAUCAUGGCCUUUAUGGGUAGGGCCACACACGUGCUACAAUGGGGCGUACAGAGGGGAGCCAACCUGCGAAGGGGAGCCAAUCUCAGAAAACGCCUCGUAGUCCGGAUUGGAGUCUGCAACUCGACUCCAUGAAGUUGGAAUCGCUAGUAAUCGCGAAUCAGAACGUCGCGGUGAAUACGUUCCCGGGCCUUGUACACACCGCCCGU